Molecule: non-coding RNA, 103 nt
Filed under: marine eukaryotic metagenome
Description: Glycine riboswitch
Rfam family: Glycine riboswitch aptamer
About the family: This family represents the bacterial glycine riboswitch.
Source: RNAcentral
CCACUCUGGAGAGUGCCCCCGAGGGCACGCCGACGGGGAAAGCCGCGACGUCGCCCGGCGCGACGUCGCGGUGAAACUCUCAGGCCAGCAUGACAGAGCGGGA